AACUAAAAAUUUCAUCCAUUUUUAUGAUUAAAACCUAGCAUGGCUGAUAGAACAUGUUACACGUGGCGUGCCACAUGUACCUCAUUUUGGUAUACAAGGGCCAAUUUAAUAGUAGAAAUUGAUGAAAUUUCUAACA
Gossypium hirsutum (cotton) is the source of this 136-nucleotide non-coding RNA. Lineage: Eukaryota; Viridiplantae; Streptophyta; Magnoliopsida; Malvales; Malvaceae. The record is from Rfam.